UUUUGAAACACAGGGAGCCCCGCUGUGCGGAGAUCCAGGCACCUUUAAUUCAGCAAGAGGGGCUGAAAAACCCUCCACAUUUUGGAAGAAGGAUCCAAACCCCUGUUUUAGGUAAAGAGAGCCCCCAACGUUUUGGGGGAUGGUCUGAAGGCCGCCAUUUGUAGGGACACAGAGCCCUGGUGUGCAGGUCUGGGCCAGCAGCCCCCAGCUGGAUUGGGGAGCCCACCCCCUCUACUGGUUUCCAGGAACAGCUGGGCCCAGCCUAGGUUGUACUGCUGGGAAGCGGCUGACUCAACCCCUCCCUGUGGCCACAGCUGGACCCCGGCCUGCCCCCUCCAGCGUUCACAUCUGGGCAGGGAUCCAGUCUUCAUCAGGGCUGAGAAGGGGACCCUCAGUCC
Molecule: long non-coding RNA, 398 nt
Filed under: Homo sapiens (human)
Lineage: Eukaryota; Metazoa; Chordata; Mammalia; Primates; Hominidae
Description: non-protein coding lnc-JUNB-3:1
Source: RNAcentral